UUUACACAGCUACCCAGCAGGCCAGGUCACUCUGCCGCUGGGCUCUGCCUUACAUGUGGAAGUGUUGGUGGAUGAGUGAUCCAAGUUCUGCAGUUGUUCUGGAGGAUUGCUAUACCACUCACUCCUCAAACCCCGAUGACCCCAUCCGAGACUAUCUCAUUCGUUCCAGGUGUCCUUCUGCCUCUCGUCAUGUCCCGCCGUGUUCGUUUCUCUGCCCUGCUCUUUAAUCUCCAGAAUGAUCAGCCAAACCUCUUCCAUCACUGCACACUAUGCAUGUGUGACAAGAGGAUCCACAACUGUGUUCCAGUAAGUCAGACACUCAUCAAUCAACAAUCAAUGCUUUAUAUCCAAACACUGGCUAUAGGUGUCUAAUCAUGCUACCCCCUCUGCCCUCACAGCGCUGCAGACGAAGGACAUAUCGCUCUCCUGUCUACCAAGAUCCGAUCCAUUCCAUCACCAUUGGACCAAUCACGUUCAAGUGAAAAAUACAAUCCGGUAUCAGAGCAGAUGUCUCAGCACUGUGAUUUGUUUGGAAGUUAUGUUUCCUUUUUCUUUCAUCUUAGUCUUUUUAUGGGAGAACUCACAUGUUAAUGGAGUGAGAUGAUAAACACUGCAAAGUGAUGCAAGCACAUUUUAAUGAUAUCUUUAUUUUUCGAUCACCCUGUGAUAUCCUUCCUGUCUAUACAUUAUGUAGGCUAUGGUUAAUGGUGGUUCUGUUUUUAGCUAAUCAACAACAACAUGUUCAUGUCUUAACUGUAACUUGAUUUUUUGGUAGAAGAAAUGAUAAACACAUUUAAAGGUACACUAAUAACAACACAGGUUGUGGGUUUGGGGCGAUAUGGCAAACAUAUUCUAUCCCAUUAUAGCAUAUUUCUGGUAAUUCAAUAAAUAAUAGUUCAUGUGAAACAGCAACAUGUUAAAGCCUAUUUAUGUAUACUCUUCUGUGAAUUAAAAAC
Molecule: long non-coding RNA, 956 nt
Filed under: Cottoperca gobio
Lineage: Eukaryota; Metazoa; Chordata; Actinopteri; Perciformes; Bovichtidae
Description: lncRNA (ENSCGOG00000008445.1)
Source: RNAcentral